CUCGAAAUGUAUUGAGGCGCAGCAGUUGACUGCGCAUCUAGGGGUAAAACACUGUUUCGGUGCGGGCCGCGAGAGUGGUACCAAGUCGAGUAAUACUAGAUAUGACCUCCAAAUAACGACUAGUGAGAUGAUGGGGGAUAAGCUUCAUCGUCAAGAGGGAACAGCCUGCAUCACCAGCUAAGGCCCCUAAAUGACCGCUCAGUGAUAAAGGAGGUAGGGGUGCAGAGAAAGCCAGGAGGUUUGCCUAGAAGCAGCCACCCUUGAAAGAGUGCGAAAUAGCUCACUAAUAUCUAGAGGAAAGCAAAAUCAAUUGGCCAAACAUUCUUCCUCGUUUUUAGUUUAAUGAGUCUCAUGUGUCAUGUUGUG
Beta vulgaris subsp. vulgaris (sugar beet) is the source of this 366-nucleotide non-coding RNA. The record is from Rfam. Lineage: Eukaryota; Viridiplantae; Streptophyta; Magnoliopsida; Caryophyllales; Amaranthaceae.